AUCGAGGCGGGGCCUUCGUAUACCCUUUCCCGGGAUGCAACGCACCGGCGGACGGCUCAGUAACACGUGCACAACCUGCCCUCGGGUGGGGGAUAACCCCGGGAAACUGGGGCUAAUCCCCCAUAGGUGAUGGGUGCUGGAAUGCCCCAUCACCGAAAGCGCUCAGCGCCCGAGGAUGGGUCUGCGGCGGAUUAGGUAGUUGGCGGGGUAACGGCCCGCCAAGCCGAAGAUCCGUACGGGCCAUGAGAGUGGGAGCCCGGAGAUGGACCCUGAGACACGGGUCCAGGCCUUACUGGGCGCAGCAGGCGCGAAACCUCCGCAAUGCGGGAAACCGCGACGGGGGUAGCCGGAGUGCCGAUGCCUCGCAUCCCCUGUCGGGGAGCCUAAAAAGCUCCCCACAGCAAGGGCCGGGCAAGGCCGGUGGCAGCCGCCGCGGUAAUACCGGCGGCCCGAGUGGCGGCUACUAUUAUUGGGCCUAAAGCGUCCGUACCCGGUCUGGAAAGUCCCCCGGGAAAUCUGGCGGCUUAUCCGUCAGGCUGCCGGGGGAUACUGCCACACUAUGGACCGGGAGAGGCCGGGGGUAUUCCCGGGGUAGGGGUGAAAUCCUGUAAUCCCGGGAGGACCCCCUGUGGCCAAGGCGCCCGGCUGGAACGGGUCCGACGGUGAGGGACGAAGGCCUGUGGAGCGAAACCGGAUUAGAUACCUGGGUACUCCAGGCUGUAACCCAUGCGGGCUAGGUGUCUUGACAGCCACGAGCUGCCGCGGUGCCGGAGGGAAGCCGCUAAUCCCCUCCGCCUGCGAAGUACUGCCGCCAGGCUGAAACUUCUAGGGAAUUGCUGGGGGGAGCUCUACGAUCGGGUCGGA
This 864-nucleotide ribosomal RNA is filed under the name Geoglobus sp. AF2T1421. Its description in RNAcentral is "bacterial SSU rRNA". It matches the Rfam family "Archaeal small subunit ribosomal RNA", at positions 32 to 894 of the family's 1478-position model. The record is from RNAcentral. Lineage: Archaea; Methanobacteriati; Methanobacteriota; Archaeoglobi; Archaeoglobales; Archaeoglobaceae.